Molecule: non-coding RNA, 78 nt
Organism: Schistosoma curassoni
Lineage: Eukaryota; Metazoa; Platyhelminthes; Trematoda; Strigeidida; Schistosomatidae
Source: Rfam
AGCUUUUUGAAUCCGUGCUGAGAUUUCGUCAGAUACCAACUGAUAACGGCUGACUAGACUUCAAAGAUAAGUGAAGUU